GGUUCGAUGGUCUAGUUGGUCAUGGCAUCUGCUUAACACGCAGAACGUCCCCAGUUCGAUCCUGGGUCGAAUCA
Molecule: transfer RNA, 74 nt
Organism: Nadsonia fulvescens var. elongata DSM 6958
Lineage: Eukaryota; Fungi; Ascomycota; Dipodascomycetes; Dipodascales
Rfam family: tRNA
About the family: Transfer RNA (tRNA) molecules are approximately 80 nucleotides in length. Their secondary structure includes four short double-helical elements and three loops (D, anti-codon, and T loops).
Source: Rfam